Molecule: ribosomal RNA, 393 nt
Filed under: uncultured bacterium
Lineage: Bacteria
Description: partial 16S ribosomal RNA
Rfam family: Bacterial small subunit ribosomal RNA
Source: RNAcentral
AUACGGAGGAUGCAAGCGUUAUCCGGAUUUAUUGGGUUUAAAGGGUGCGCAGGCGGCGCGAUAAGUCAGCGGUGAAAGGUCCCGGCUCAACCGGGGAGCUGCCGUUGAUACUGUUGUGCUGGAGUGCGGACGGCGCCGGCGGAAUGUGUCAUGUAGCGGUGACAUGCUUAGAGAUGACACAGAACACCGAUCGCGAAGGCGGCUGGCGAGGCCGUUACUGACGCUGAGGCACGAAAGCGUGGGGAGCAAACAGGAUUAGAUACCCUGGUAGUCCACGCAGUAAACGAUGGGGACUUGUUGUCGGCGAUAGACAGUCGGUGACAAAGCGAAAGCGAUAAGUCCCCCACCUGGGGAGUACGAUCGCAAGGUUGAAACUCAAAUGAAUUGACGGGG